This 918-nucleotide ribosomal RNA is filed under the name uncultured bacterium. RNAcentral describes it as "bacterial SSU rRNA". It matches the Rfam family "Bacterial small subunit ribosomal RNA", at positions 11 to 926 of the family's 1533-position model. The record is from RNAcentral.
GUUUGAUCCUGGCUCAGAUUGAACGCUGGCGGCAUGCCUUACACAUGCAAGUCGAACGGCAGCACGGAGCUUGCUCUGGUGGCGAGUGGCGAACGGGUGAGUAAUAUAUCGGAACGUACCCUGGAGUGGGGGAUAACGUAGCGAAAGUUACGCUAAUACCGCAUACGAUCUAAGGAUGAAAGUGGGGGAUCGCAAGACCUCAUGCUCCUGGAGCGGCCGAUAUCUGAUUAGCUAGUUGGUAGGGUAAAAGCCUACCAAGGCAUCGAUCAGUAGCUGGUCUGAGAGGACGACCAGCCACACUGGAACUGAGACACGGUCCAGACUCCUACGGGAGGCAGCAGUGGGGAAUUUUGGACAAUGGGGGCAACCCUGAUCCAGCAAUGCCGCGUGAGUGAAGAAGGCCUUCGGGUUGUAAAGCUCUUUUGUCAGGGAAGAAACGGUGUGGGCUAAUAUCUCAUGCUAAUGACGAUACCUGAAGAAUAAGCACCGGCUAACUACGUGCCAGCAGCCGCGGUAAUACGUAGAGUGCAAGCGUUAAUCGGAAUUACUGGGCGUAAAGCGUGCGCAGGCGGUUUUGUAAGACUGUCGUGAAAUCCCCGGGCUCAACCUGGGAAUGGCGAUGGUGACUGCAAGGCUAGAGUUUGGCAGAGGGGGGUAGAAUUCCACGUGUAGCAGUGAAAUGCGUAGAUAUGUGGAGGAACACCGAUGGCGAAGGCAGCCCCCUGGGUCAAAACUGACGCUCAUGCACGAAAGCGUGGGGAGCAAACAGGAUUAGAUACCCUGGUAGUCCACGCCCUAAACGAUGUCUACUAGUUGUCGGGUUUUAAUUAACUUGGUAACGCAGCUAACGCGUGAAGUAGACCGCCUGGGGAGUACGGUCGCAAGAUUAAAACUCAAAGGAAUUGACGGGACCCGCAC